GACGAACGCUGGCGGCGUGCUUAACACAUGCAAGUCGAACGGAAAGGCCCUGCUUUUGUGGGGUGCUCGAGUGGCGAACGGGUGAGUAACACGUGAGUAACCUGCCCUUGACUUUGGGAUAACUUCAGGAAACUGGGGCUAAUACCGGAUAGGAGCUCCUGCUGCAUGGUGGGGGUUGGAAAGUUUCGGCGGUUGGGGAUGGACUCGCGGCUUAUCAGCUUGUUGGUGGGGUAGUGGCUUACCAAGGCUUUGACGGGUAGCCGGCCUGAGAGGGUGACCGGCCACAUGGGAAUGGGGUAAGGGCCAGACUCCCAACGGGGGGAAGAGGGGGGAAUAUUUGCCAAAGGGGCGAAGGCUGAGUGCAGCACCCCCGGGUGGGGAAUGACGGCCUCGGGUUGUAAACCGCUUUCGCCUGUGACGAAGCGUGAGUGACGGUAAUGGGUAAAGAAGCACCGGCUAACUACGUG
RNAcentral lists this ribosomal RNA (467 nucleotides) under uncultured bacterium. RNAcentral describes it as "partial 16S ribosomal RNA". It matches the Rfam family "Bacterial small subunit ribosomal RNA", at positions 28 to 507 of the family's 1533-position model. The record is from RNAcentral.